This 250-nucleotide ribosomal RNA is filed under the name uncultured archaeon. Its description in RNAcentral is "partial 16S ribosomal RNA". It matches the Rfam family "Archaeal small subunit ribosomal RNA", at positions 474 to 723 of the family's 1478-position model. The record is from RNAcentral.
UACCGGCUGCUCGAGUGAUGGCCACUAUUACUGGGUUUAAAGCGUCCGUAGCUGGACUGUUAGGUCCCUUGGGAAAUCUUCACGCUUAACGUGAAGGCGUCUAAGAGAUACCGGCAGUCUUGGGACUGGGAGAGGUAAACCGUACUUCGGGGGUAGGAGUGAAAUCUUGUAAUCCUCGAGGGACGACCUAUGGCGAAGGCAGUUUACCAGAACAGCUUCGACAGUGAGGGACGAAAGCUGGGGGAGCAAA